This is a long non-coding RNA of Lepidothrix coronata (blue-crowned manakin), 1394 nucleotides long. RefSeq lists it as uncharacterized. Lineage: Eukaryota; Metazoa; Chordata; Aves; Passeriformes; Pipridae. The record is from RefSeq and is a predicted model, not a curated record. The transcript is spliced from 3 exons.
GCGAUGGCUCCGCCCCCGGCCCCGCCUCGGCCCCCUCAGAGCCCGAGGAGCCGAGGAGCGGUUUGAGUUGGAAUAAACCCUUUAACAUCGGUGGGGCCAACAGUGGCCCCAGCCCUGCCGGGGCCACCACUAACCCGUGUCCCCGAGUGCCAUGCCCACACCUUCUCUGAACAUAUCCAGGGAUGGGGACUUCACUGUUCCAGGGCUGAACUAUCCUUUCAGUGAAGAAAGUUUUGCAAUAUCCAACCUGAACUUCCCCGGGCGCAACUUGAGACUAUGUUCUCUUGUCACUUGUCAGGGCAAGCCCAUCCCUUAACCGUGUCCCCAGGUGACACAUCCACAGGUUUUUUGAACACACACUGGGACGGUGAUUUCACCACUGCCCUGGGCAGCCUGUUCAGUGCCUGACCACCCGUUCCUUUGUUGAGGAAUACCUCUGGCCCUUUGUUGAGGAAUACCUCUGGCCCUUUGUUGAGGAAUACCUCUGGCCCUUUGUUGAGGAAUGCCUCUGGUUCCUUUGUUGAGGAAUGCCUCUGGCGCAGGUAGCUCAGUUUGCAACCUGCAGAUUGAGAUGCAGAUUGAGCUCUAGGUGCGAACUGCCAACCUUUGGGAUAACAAAGGACAUGAAGAGGAGAGAUGCCAGCCGGGUGGAUGGACAUGGAGAGGGGCGCAGGAGCAGGGGACUCAGGAGGAAGAGCAAGACUUGCUCACUCACGGAUUGUGACGGUAUAAAAGCCCAGGGAUCCUUUGCUCAGGGCCCCUCCUCUGAGGCACCAGCUCGGAGCUGUUCCUGUGUUACUGCACCACGAAUAAAUUGCAUUAUGGAACGAGGCAUCUGAGGAUCUGGUAUGGGAAACCUGGGGUGGAACCGAUGCAAGCCCUGCUCUACAAGCAAAAGGUUUGCCAAACCUGCUUCUGUGGGCCCUUAUCCUCCAGCUGAAGAGCAUAUGAGAGAAUGAUCAGAUGGAGAAGACAAAGGUCACGCUGUCAUCUUCAGGAGGGACCAUGCUAAGAGGACGCUGCAAAUGUCCUGACUGGAGUAACUGCAUUCUUCCUUACUGGUGAAGUCUGGCAGCUCUGAGGGCUGGCUGCCACCCCAUACUGGGCAGCACUGCCCAGAAAACACUUUGUCUUUAUUGUUACCGGUGUUGAUCAUCACCACAGGUGUCUGAUAUUACAUUUAGUAGCUGUCUCAGUCAUAUGGGGUUGGGUGGGUUUCAGCUCAUGCUCCUCUGACUGGUGCCUGCUCCAAAUGGCAGUGGUGUGGGUGAGGACAUCCCUGUCACCAUCCCCAUCCACCCUGACCUAUCCCUUGGUAGACCUAUCUCCCCAAAGCAGAGGGCUUUGCAGGAGAAGGUUGGAAUCACCAAGAACAGACACUUGGAAUCACAGAA